RNAcentral lists this ribosomal RNA (440 nucleotides) under uncultured bacterium. Its description in RNAcentral is "partial 16S ribosomal RNA". It matches the Rfam family "Bacterial small subunit ribosomal RNA", at positions 338 to 795 of the family's 1533-position model. The record is from RNAcentral.
CCUACGGGGGGCUGCAGUAGGGAAUAUUGCUCAAUGGGGGAAACCCUGAAGCAGCAACGCCGCGUGGAGGAUGAAGGUUUUCGGAUUGUAAACUCCUUUUGUUAGAGAAGAUAAUGACGGUAUCUAACGAAUAAGCACCGGCUAACUCCGUGCCAGCAGCCGCGGUAAUACGGAGGGUGCAAGCGUUACUCGGAAUCACUGGGCGUAAAGAGCGCGUAGGCGGGAUAGCAAGUCAGAUGUGAAAUCCUAUGGCUUAACCAUAGAACUGCAUUUGAAACUGUUAUUCUAGAGUAUGGGAGAGGGAGGUGGAAUUCUUGGUGUAGGGGUAAAAUGCGUAGAGAUCAAGAGGAAUACUCAUUGCGAAGGCGACCUGCUAGAAUAUAACUGACGUUGAUGCGCGAAAGCGUGGGGAGCAAACAGGAUUAGAUACCCCAGUAGUC